This 21-nucleotide non-coding RNA is filed under the name Caenorhabditis elegans. The record is from RNAcentral. Lineage: Eukaryota; Metazoa; Nematoda; Chromadorea; Rhabditida; Rhabditidae.
UAUGUACACAUUUUAUUAUUA